UCGCAGAAACAGAACAAGUUCAGCUUCCUACAGAAGUUGUGGUGGACGGGAAAUCUGCCUCUUCAAAAGAAGAGGUAGAAAGCACGAGGGAGGACGGGGAGCUUCCAUCUUUAGUUCCUGUCACUUCUAUAAAUGAUACUAAUGUCACUCCAAAUAAAAAAAUCAAUUUUGAUCCCUCCACAAAGCUGGCUUUCAUUUCAAAGAGUGCCAGCUCUCCAAUUAUAAAGGGGAAGUCACCAAGUUACAUGCAUGGGCCCCUCUUUGUCCAUCUCCUAGUCAGGUUUCAGCAUUGGCUGUCGCAGAAACAGAACAAGUUCAGCUUCCUACAGAAGUUGUGGUGGACGGGAAAUCUGCCUCUUCAAAAGAAGAGGUAGAAAGCACGAGGGAGGACGGGGAGCUUCCAUCUUUAGUUCCUGUCACUUCUAUAAAUGAUACUAAUGUCACUCCAAAUAAAAAAAUCAAUUUUGAUCCCUCCACAAAGCUGGCUUUCAUUUCAAAGAGUGCCAGCUCUCCAAUUAUAAAGGGGAAGUCACCAAGUUUUAAGAAAUACGGAGAUGAUGCAGAUCUUAUUCUGGAAUCCGGGGAACUUCCAUCUUUAGUUCCUGUCACUUCUAUAAAUGAUUCUAAUGUCACUCCAAAUAAAAGAAUCAAUUUUGAUCCGUCCGCUAAGCUGGCUUUCAUUUCAAAGAGUGCCAGCUCUCCAAUUAUGAAGGGGAAGUCACCAAGUUUUAAGAAAU
RNAcentral lists this long non-coding RNA (737 nucleotides) under Nicotiana benthamiana. Its description in RNAcentral is "long non-coding RNA (NBEN_LNC029898)". The record is from RNAcentral. Lineage: Eukaryota; Viridiplantae; Streptophyta; Magnoliopsida; Solanales; Solanaceae.